GACGAACGCUGGCGGCGUGCUUAACACAUGCAAGUCGAACGGAAAGGCCCUGCUUUUGUGGGGUGCUCGAGUGGCGAACGGGUGAGUAACACGUGAGUAACCUGCCCUUGACUUUGGGAUAACUUCAGGAAACUGGGGCUAAUACCGGAUAGGAGCUCCUGCUGCAUGGUGGGGGUUGGAAAGUUUCGGCGGUUGGGGAUGGACUCGCGGCUUAUCAGCUUGUUGGUGGGGUAGUGGCUUACCAAGGCUUUGACGGGUAGCCGGCCUGAGAGGGUGACCGGCCACGUUGGGACUGAGAUACGGCCCAGACUCCUACGGGAGGCAGCAGUGGGGAAUAUUGCACAAUGGGCGGAAGCCUGAUGCAGCAACGCCGCGUGCGGGAUGACGGCCUUCGGGUUGUAACCGCUUUCGCCUGUGACGAAGCGUGAGUGACGGUAAUGGGUAAAGAAGCACCGGCUAACUACGUGCCAGCAGCCGCGGUGAUACGUAGGGUGCGAGCGUUGUCCGGAUUUAUUGGGCGUAAAGGGCUCGUAGGUGGUUGAUCGCGUCGGAAGUGUAAUCUUGGGGCUUAACCCUGAGCGUGCUUUCGAUACGGGUUGACUUGAGGAAGGUAGGGGAGAAUGGAAUUCCUGGUGGAGCGGUGGAAUGCGCAGAUAUCAGGAGGAACACCAGUGGCGAAGGCGGUUCUCUGGGCCUUUCCUGACGCUGAGGAGCGAAAGCGUGGGGAGCGAACAGGCUUAGAUACCCUGGUAGUCCACGCUGUAAACGGUGGGUACUAGGUGUGGGGCCCAUUCCACGGGUUCCGUGCCGUAGCUAACGCUUUAAGUACCCCGCCUGGGGAGUACGGCCGCAAGGCUAAGACUCAAAGGAAUUGACGGGGCCCCGCACAAGCGGCGGAGCAUGCGGAUUAAUUCGAUGCAACGCGUAGAACCUUACCUGGGUUUGACAUGGAUCGGGAGUGCUCAGAGAUGGGUGUGCCUCUUUUGGGGUCGGUUCACAGGUGGUGCAUGCCUGUCGUCAGCUCGUGUCGUGAGAUGUUGGGUUAAGUCCCGCAACGAGCGCAACCCUUGUUCACUGUUGCCAGCACGUUAUGGUGGGGACUCAGUGGAGACCGCCGGGGUCAACUCGGAGGAAGGUGGGGAUGACGUCAAGCCCUCAUGCCCCUUAUGUCCAGGGCUUCACGCAUGCUACAAUGGCUGGUACAGAGAGUGGCGAGCCUGUGAGGGUGAGCGAAUCUCGGAAAGCCGGUCUCAGUUCGGAUUGGGGUCUGCAACUCGACCUCAUGAAGUCGGAGUCGCUAGUAAUCGCAGAUCAGCAACGCUGCGGUGAAUACGUUCCCGGGGCU
RNAcentral lists this ribosomal RNA (1345 nucleotides) under uncultured bacterium. RNAcentral's name for it is "bacterial SSU rRNA". It matches the Rfam family "Bacterial small subunit ribosomal RNA", at positions 28 to 1381 of the family's 1533-position model. The record is from RNAcentral.